RNAcentral lists this unclassified non-coding RNA (1274 nucleotides) under Hevea brasiliensis (rubber tree). Lineage: Eukaryota; Viridiplantae; Streptophyta; Magnoliopsida; Malpighiales; Euphorbiaceae. The record is from RNAcentral.
AUUGCACAAUUCACAGAUACCUGUUCAUCCAAACUAUAAUUAGAUGCUUUUGAAGAGACAACAAGAUAUAAAGAAAAAGAAUAUUAAUGCUAGCAAACAUUGGUGGGAAAUGGAAAUACAUUUUUAUUUUCUUUUAUACUUGAAAUUACUUGAAAAAUAUCAUUUUUUUAUGUUUGAUCAUUGAAUUGCUAAUUUGGUGACUAUUAAUUAAAAAAAUAUGUAAUUUUAAUGUAAGUAUUUAAUCUAAAAAUUAUUUAUUAAUUAGCUUGUGGCAGUGUUCUUGUAUUUUGGAUGAGAAUGGUUAGAAAUGCCAGAGAACUAAUGCUUAAUGUAGCAAAAACAUGGAUUCUUGAGAAGAUAAAAAAAUAAAUAAAUAAAUACAAACACAACAUCAUCAUAGUCAUUAACAAUUACACCCAAGUCUAAAUUUGACCGCUAAUACGACACAACUAAGCCAAUACUAUUUACCCUGUUAAAAAAAAAAAAAAGCAAUACUAUUUACCGGAAACCCAUGCCCCUACUAAGCAUUUCUUGUGAUGUUAAAAGCAUUAACAGAUGUUAAAAUCAUUCAGCUUUAAAAGCUCAAAAUUUGUUUUAUGGUAAAAAAAAAAAAAAAAGGGGACUCGGUAGAAUACCCAAACAUAAGCGAGCCCAUUUAAGUGAUAUCGAUCUUCUGCCUUUAAUAUAGGGGUAAAAAAACUAACACUUCUGGCUGCAUGACAUGAAAACCUGCAAAUCUUGGAUUUGUAAACCCGACACAAAAUUCCUGAUUUAAAAAAAAAAUGGCGAUAAAUGCAUGAUCCAACCCACAAAACGAACCAUUUCAUCCGUCACAUUCUAAUGACCCACCCACCAGAAAAACCCAAUUCCAUGGCUUAACGGAGAGUUUUGUAAUCAGACCGAACAAAUCGCGCAGAUGUUACAUAAAAAUCCAAGUAGGUUGAAGGAUCUGUACCUGAGAACACGCGGAGGUGGCGGUGGCUGUGGCGAGGAAGGACGCUGCCGGAGAUUCAAAUAGCCAUUGCUUUGAUUAGUAUUUCUCGUGGUACUUGGCUGAUUAGAAGCCUCUUUAUCAGCUCUAACGACCCUACGGUCCACCCGAACCGUGGUUCGAUGAACCGAGGAGUUGGAGUCGUCCUUCACCUGGACCUUCAUGCACCUCAGGCGCUUCCGGUUACCCCACUGCAAGACAAAAUCCGACGUCGUUUGUUUGGUAGUCUCUGAAACGGCCCUUAACAAAUCAUCUCCGGUUUUGUGGGUAUUAUUGGUGUUAA